This 393-nucleotide ribosomal RNA is filed under the name Triticum aestivum (bread wheat). Its description in RNAcentral is "partial small subunit ribosomal RNA". Lineage: Eukaryota; Viridiplantae; Streptophyta; Magnoliopsida; Poales; Poaceae. The record is from RNAcentral.
AUGGCGAGCGAAACUUCUGCCACAUCACGUGUUUGCGGCGGUUCAGGCAAGGACGUUCUUGGCGGCGGUUCAAAGGAUGUGUCGGGGGCAGGGAAGAAGGUCAGCGAGGCUAGCUUCUCUGGCGGGGUAGAUCCCUCUUCCCAGGCUGGGGAUCUGGGUGAAAAGCUCAAAUUUCUGAACCUGCGUGAAGAUGAGGAAGAAGAUGUCGUUCUUGAGGAGGAUUUAGAGGAGUUGGAGAAAGACGCGGAGUUCAUGGCCUUGGCAAGGAUCCACACUACACGUACUUUCAGCCAUGGCGCAUUUUUUGGUGCUAUGCGUUCUACCUGGAAUCUUGCACAGGAGGUUGAAUUUAGGGCCACUAGUGCAGAACCGGCCUUUAGCGCCGGUUCGUGA